CUCCAGACUCCUACGGGAGGCAGCAGUGGGGAAUCUUCCGCAAUGGGCGAAAGCCUGACGGAGCAACGCCGCGUGAUCGAAUGAAGGCCUUCGGGUUGUAAAGAUCUGUUGACAGGGACGAAUAAGCAAUGCGAAUAGUUUUGUGUAUGACGGUACCUGUUUAGAAAGCUCCGGCUAACUACGUGCCAGCAGCCGCGGUAAUACGUAGGGAGCAAGCGUUGUCCGGAAUUACUGGGCGUAAAGGGCGCGUAGGUGGGCGCUUAAGUCAGGUGUGAAAACUCCGGGCUCAACCUGGAGACUGCACUUGAAACUGGGUGUCUUGAGAUGUCGAGAGGUAUGCGGAAUGCGUAGUGUAGCGGUGAAAUGCUUAGAUAUUGCGCAGAACUCCGAUUGCGAAGGCAGCAUACCGGCGGCGAUCUGACGCUGAGGCACGAAAGCGUGGGUAUCGAACAGGAUUAGAUACCCUAGUAG
RNAcentral lists this ribosomal RNA (471 nucleotides) under uncultured bacterium. RNAcentral's name for it is "bacterial SSU rRNA". It matches the Rfam family "Bacterial small subunit ribosomal RNA", at positions 329 to 793 of the family's 1533-position model. The record is from RNAcentral.